UACGUAGGGUCCGAGCGUUGUCCGGAAUUAUUGGGCGUAAAGGAGCUCGUAGGCGGUUUGUCGCGUCUGCUGUGAAAUCUGGAGGCUCAACCUCCAGCCUGCAGUGGGUACGGGCAGACUAGAGUGCGGUAGGGGAGAAUGGAAUUCCUGGUGUAGCGGUGGAAUGCGCAGAUAUCAGGAGGAACACCGGUGGCGAAGGCGGUUCUCUGGGCAUUACCUGACGCUGAGGAGCGAAAGCCAGGGGAGCAAACGGGG
This 255-nucleotide ribosomal RNA is filed under the name uncultured bacterium. RNAcentral describes it as "partial 16S ribosomal RNA". It matches the Rfam family "Bacterial small subunit ribosomal RNA", at positions 524 to 777 of the family's 1533-position model. The record is from RNAcentral.